UCCUACGGGAGGCAGCAGUAGGGAAUCUUCCGCAAUGGACGAAAGUCUGACGGAGCAGCGCCGCGUGAGCGAAGAAGGCCUUCGGGUCGUAAAGCUCUGUUGUAAGGGAAGAACAAGUGCCAUUUAACUGAUGGCACCUUGACGGUACCUUACGAGAAAGCCACGGCUAACUACGUGCCAGCAGCCGCGGUAAUACGUAGGUGGCAAGCGUUGUCCGGAUUUAUUGGGCGUAAAGCGCGCGCAGGCGGUCCUUUAAGUCUGAUGUGAAAGCCCACGGCUCAACCGUGGAGGGUCAUUGGAAACUGGGAAGCUUGAGUGCAGAAGAGGAGAGUGGAAUUCCAUGUGUAGCGGUGAAAUGCGUAGAGAUAUGGAGGAACACCAGUGGCGAAGGCGACUCUCUGGUCUGCAACUGACGCUGAGGCGCGAAAGCGUGGGGAGCGAACAGGAUUAGAUACCCUGGUAGUCCACGCUGUAAACGAUGAGUGCUAGGUGUCGGGGGGUCCAACCCUCGGUGCUGUCGCUAACGUAAUAAGCACUCCGCCUGGGGAGUACGGUCGCAAGACUGAAACUCAAAGGAAUUGACGGA
RNAcentral lists this ribosomal RNA (586 nucleotides) under uncultured bacterium. RNAcentral's name for it is "bacterial SSU rRNA". It matches the Rfam family "Bacterial small subunit ribosomal RNA", at positions 337 to 917 of the family's 1533-position model. The record is from RNAcentral.